This 431-nucleotide ribosomal RNA is filed under the name uncultured bacterium. RNAcentral's name for it is "partial 16S ribosomal RNA". It matches the Rfam family "Bacterial small subunit ribosomal RNA", at positions 29 to 507 of the family's 1533-position model. The record is from RNAcentral.
AACGAACGCUGGCGGCAGGCUUAACACAUGCAAGUCGAGCGCCCCGCAAGGGGAGCGGCAGACGGGUGAGUAACGCGUGGGAACGUACCUUUUGGUUCGGAACAACUCCGGGAAACUGGAGCUAAUACCGGAUAAGCCCUAACGGGGAAAGAUUUAUCGCCGAAAGAUCGGCCCGCGUCUGAUUAGCUAGUUGGUGAGGUAACGGCUCACCAAGGCGACGAUCAGUAGCUGGUCUGAGAGGAUGAUCAGCCACACUGGGACUGAGACACGGCCCAGACUCCUACGGGGGGCAGCAGUGGGGAAUAUUGGACAAUGGGCGCAAGCCUGAUCCAGCCAUGCCGCGUGAGUGAUGAAGGCCUUAGGGUUGUAAAGCUCUUUUGUCCGGGAAGAUAAUGACUGUACCGGAAGAAUAAGCCCCGGCUAACUUCGUG